AUGGCUGCCAAUACACCGACAACUGAUGCAACUGGAGGACAAUCAUCGAUGGACGAACGGAUCCUGAAAGCAGCCACCUUUGGUGUUUUCUGGGACAUUGAGGUGUUGGCUACAAAGAGUCCAAGCAUUCUUCUUGGAGUAACUCCGCAAGGGAACAACUGCCUCCACAUAUCCACCAUUCAUGGGCACGAAGAGUUCUGCUUGUAUGCGCUGGCACUAGAGCGUUCUCUCCUUGAAAAGGUCAACUGCGAGAACGAGACGCCGCUUGUCAUUGCUGUUUCACUUGGCCAUGCCUCUUUGGCUUCUAAAUUACUGCAGCAAUGCUGCAGAAGACCACGAUUGAGUCGAGCAAUCUUGCAACAAGACAGGUAUGGAUUUAACGCACUGCAUCAUGCUAUUCGCAAUGGCCACAAGCAACUUGCACUGGAUUUGAUAGCAGAAGAGUCUGCCCUGUCGAGAGCUGUGACCAAGUACACUGAGUCACCCAUGUUCAUCGCCGUGAUGAGGAAUUAUGUAGAUGUUUCUGAAAAGCUACUAGACGUUGAUGAUUCUUCUGAUGUUGGACAGUAUGAACGCCAUGCUCUUCAUGCUGCAGCGAGAAAUGGAAAUAAAGUCGAGCAAUGUGAUCCUAGACUUGUUGCUGCUUUAUUAUCUCAUGAGAGUAUAGACCCAACAAUUCUGGACAACCGUGGGAAUUCAGCGGCUUCGCAAUUGUCGAGCAUCACAAUCGAUGACAAGACUUUGGACUGGAAGGAAGUGCAUGUUCUCAUGUCAAAAGCUGAUCCUAGUGAUGAUGACAUCUCCUUGUAUAAUCUUCGCAAGGGGGCCACGAAACAGGAGAGUAUUAAAUCAAGGAGACAGAGAGAGUCAAUGACCCAAAAAUACAGAAGCAACACAUCAUUGGUGGCAAUCCUCCUUGCAACAAUCACCUUUACUGCUGCUUUCACUCUACCCGGAGGAUAUAGCAGUGAUUCUGGAAAUGCGGGACUUCCCACCAUGUCUGGAAAGGUUACAUUUAUAGUGUUCUUGAUCUUUGACACCUUAGCAAUGUGCUCCUCAUUUGUUGUGGCCUUUAUAUGCCUCAUGGGAAAGUGGGAGGAUGAUAAGUUCACAACCUGUUUCAUCUUUGUAACUAAAAAGCUCACCUGGUUUGCAUACUUGGCAACAGUUACGGCUUUUUCAACUGGAUUGUACCCAGUGCUGGCCCCACGUCUCCAAUGGUUGGCGAUUCUGAUUUGCUCCCUGGUAGCUUUUUUCUUCACUCUUACUAUUUUCAUAGCAAAAUGGCCUUCCAUGAAGCUCAGUUUUCGGUUGGGUCAAACAUUGCCUUCCAUGAAGCUCAGUUUUCGGUUGGGUCAAACAUUGCCUUCCAUGAAGCUCAGUUUUCGAUAUGGCGCUCAAAUUUCUGCAAUGGUUUGA
RNAcentral lists this ribosomal RNA (1419 nucleotides) under Triticum aestivum (bread wheat). Its description in RNAcentral is "partial small subunit ribosomal RNA". The record is from RNAcentral. Lineage: Eukaryota; Viridiplantae; Streptophyta; Magnoliopsida; Poales; Poaceae.